Lynx canadensis (Canada lynx) is the source of this 105-nucleotide small nuclear RNA. The record is from Ensembl. NCBI's taxonomy places the organism in Eukaryota, Metazoa, Chordata, Mammalia, Carnivora, Felidae.
GCUUAGGAAACCUGUGCAUAGACUAAAAUUAGAACAAUACAGAGAAGAUUAGCAUGGCCCCUGCACAUGGAUGAUGUGAAAAUUCAUGAAGUGGUCCAUAUUAAA